Molecule: long non-coding RNA, 187 nt
Organism: Mauremys reevesii (Reeves's turtle)
Lineage: Eukaryota; Metazoa; Chordata; Testudines; Geoemydidae
Exons: 3
Source: RefSeq, a predicted model, not a curated record
CCGCCCAGGGUUCAACCCCAGGAUCUGAGUUCAGAGUUGUUUUUCUCCUGCAACAGUUAGAGUUCCCUUCAGCUGCUUUAAGCUGUGGUGUGUUUUUAACUGAUUCGGGAUCAUCUGAAGUACUUUGGGUCACCUGUAACUAAAAGUGAAUCUUACUUUGGACCCCAGGAACAAAUUCUACACACAG